AUGAACGCUAGCGACAGGCCUAACACAUGCAAGUCGAGGGGCAACGGGGCGUAGCAAUACGCUGCCGGCGACCGGCGGAUGGGUGAGUAACGCGUAUGCAACCUGCCUUCAGCAGGGGGAUAGCCCGUUGAAAGACGGAUUAAUACCCCAUAACACAGGGGCUCCGCAUGGAGAUUAUUGUUAAAGGGAUGCUUCCUUCGGGGGUAUUCCGGCUGAAGAUGGGCAUGCGUUCCAUUAGGUAGUUGGUUGAGGUAACGGCUCACCAAGCCUGCGAUGGAUAGGGGAACUGAGAGGUUGGUCCCCCACACUGGUACUGAGACACGGACCAGACUCCUACGGGAGGCAGCAGUGAGGAAUCUUGGUCAAUGGACGGAAGUCUGAACCAGCCAUGUCGCGUGAAGGAGGACGGCCCUAAGGGUUGUAAACUUCUUUUGCAGCGGAAUAAAGUAUUCCACGUGAUGGGAUAUUGCAAGUACGCUGCGAAUAAGGAUCGGCUAACUCCGUG
Molecule: ribosomal RNA, 505 nt
Filed under: uncultured bacterium
Lineage: Bacteria
Description: bacterial SSU rRNA
Rfam family: Bacterial small subunit ribosomal RNA
Source: RNAcentral